RNAcentral lists this ribosomal RNA (429 nucleotides) under Actinomycetes bacterium. RNAcentral's name for it is "Actinobacteria bacterium partial 16S ribosomal RNA". It matches the Rfam family "Bacterial small subunit ribosomal RNA", at positions 355 to 776 of the family's 1533-position model. The record is from RNAcentral. Lineage: Bacteria; Bacillati; Actinomycetota; Actinomycetes.
UAGGGAAUCUUCCGCAAUGGGCGAAAGCCUGACGGAGCAACGCCGCGUGAGUGAUGAAGGCCCUCGGAUCGUAAAACUCUGUUAUUAGGGAAGAACAAAUGUGUAAGUAACUAUGCACGUCUUGACGGUACCUAAUCAGAAAGCCACGGCUAACUACGUGCCAGUAGCCGCGGUAAUACGUAGGUGGCAAGCGUUAUCCGGAAUUAUUGGGCGUAAAGCGCGCGUAGGCGGUUUUUUAAGUCUGAUGUGAAAGCCCACGGCUCAACCGUGGAGGGUCAUUGGAAACUGGAAAACUUGAGUGCAGAAAAGGAAAGUGGAAUUCCAUGUGUAGCGGUGAAAUGCGAAGAGAUAUGGAGGAACACCAGUGGCGAAGGCGACUUUCUGGUCUGUAACUGACGCUGAUGUGCGAAAGCGUGGGGAUCAAACAGG